CCUACGGGAGGCAGCAGUGGGGAAUAUUGGGCAAUGGGCGCAAGCCUGACCCAGCAACGCCGCGUGAAGGAAGAAGGCCCUCGGGUUGUAAACUUCUUUUAACAGGGACGAAGAAAGUGACGGUACCUGUUGAAUAAGCCACGGCUAACUACGUGCCAGCAGCCGCGGUAAUACGUAGGUGGCAAGCGUUAUCCGGAUUUACUGGGUGUAAAGGGGGCGGAGGCGGCAAUGCAAGCCAGGAGUGAAAGCCCGGGGCCCAACCCCGGGACUGCUCUUGGAACUGAAUGGCUGGGGUACAGGAGGGGCAGGCGGAAUGCCGAGUGUAGCGGUGAAAUGCGUAGAUAUUAGGAGGAACACCGGUGGCGAAGGCGGCCUGUUGGACUGUGACUGACGUUGAGGCCCGAAGGCGUGGGGAGCAAACAGGAUUAGAUACCCUAGUAGUC
This 443-nucleotide ribosomal RNA is filed under the name uncultured bacterium. RNAcentral's name for it is "partial 16S ribosomal RNA". It matches the Rfam family "Bacterial small subunit ribosomal RNA", at positions 338 to 795 of the family's 1533-position model. The record is from RNAcentral.